This 303-nucleotide ribosomal RNA is filed under the name uncultured bacterium. RNAcentral describes it as "bacterial SSU rRNA". It matches the Rfam family "Bacterial small subunit ribosomal RNA", at positions 355 to 650 of the family's 1533-position model. The record is from RNAcentral.
UAGGGAAUCUUCCACAAUGGACGCAAGUCUGAUGGAGCAACGCCGCGUGAGUGAAGAAGGGUUUCGGCUCGUAAAGCUCUGUUGGUAGUGAAGAAAGAUAGAGGUAGUAACUGGCCUUUAUUUGACGGUAAUUACCUAGAAAGUCACGGCUAACUACGUGCCAGCAGCCGCGGUAAUACGUAGGUGGCAAGCGUUGUCCGGAUUUAUUGGGCGUAAAGCGAGUGCAGGCGGUUCAAUAAGUCUGAUGUGAAAGCCUUCGGCUCAACCGGAGAAUUGCAUCAGAAACUGUUGAACUUGAGUGCA